This is a long non-coding RNA of Hippocampus zosterae (dwarf seahorse), 1158 nucleotides long. RefSeq lists it as uncharacterized. Lineage: Eukaryota; Metazoa; Chordata; Actinopteri; Syngnathiformes; Syngnathidae. The record is from RefSeq and is a predicted model, not a curated record. The transcript has 2 exons.
UAAAUUUAAAAAGCAGGUCACCUUUAAUCUAGGUUGCCGCGUGACCUGCAUCACCGGAAGUUGUUAGCGGUUAGCAGUCUGCAAUUGCAGUUAGUCAUCAGAGCCGUUGCGACGUAUUAUUCCUAUUCAGAGUUUGUUUAAUGUAAAAUUCACCGAGGGCAACGAAUGGGAAUAUGGAGGGCAGAGGAAACUUUUUUAUACGGUACACGUUAGUUACGAUAGUUAAUCGGCUACAAAAGUGCGUCCCAUGGCUCCGCGUCUGGUCUUGACGAAGAGUCCCAUCAGUCACUGGCAGCACAGCGGGGUGACGUCAUCGGCGGGCGAGGGGAACGCGCGCAGGGCCUCCCUGGACGAUUUGGUGUAGCCGUUGUGGAAGAUGAGGGCUUUCUUCACCGCGAAGAAGGACACCGUCCUGUCCCACGCAUCCGAGCCUGUGCCGGACAUGCCCGCGCUGAGUUGCCUCUGCAGGGCCGAGUGCAUCCUCGAUGCUUUGUCUGUGCACUUCCUCUCCAUCAGCAUCACCUUGCACAGACUGAGGAUGCGGAUGGGGGUGGACAAAUUGGACAAGUAUAUCUCGUGAAAUAUUCCAUGACAAUGCUCCAUAUAACAUUCCAAUUCUACUUGAACUAGGAAAUUCAAUUGGUUGAUCAUAUAUCAAACGCCUAAAUGUGUCCUUCAGCUCCUUGUCGGAACAAGUUGUCCAAAAACUACUGAAACACUGAAAAUUUGGUGUUUAAAAGUUCAGUCGAGGUCAAAUUACGUUCACUGGCAAAGUUUACAGUGCAUUUUACAUUCAUCCAAAUAUUUCACCCAAAAGCCCAGUCAUCACAAUUUGAGGCCUCCUGCUUCGUCUCUUAAAACUUGUGACAACAUGAACUUGAUUGUCAUGCGAAAAGCAUUGUGCCGGUUGGCUGUUAUUUCGCAACUUCUGUCCUUUUAGCCAUCUGGUUGGAGCAAUAUCCAAAACAGGAAGAAGUGACCCCUAAAACUGUAAAACAUGAAAUAGACCCUUUUUUUUUUUACUCAUCUGCCUCAGUUUGAGCUGGGAAAAGCCCCUGCUUUCUUCCUCAUCCAUUCCAAACCAUCACAAUCAGUCAGGGAUGGGCCAGGCAUCUGAUGCUGCUUAUUUGAUCUAUUUAUUUCAUUUGCGAGUCAAAC